This 1116-nucleotide long non-coding RNA is filed under the name Buteo japonicus. RNAcentral's name for it is "lncRNA (ENSBJAG00000004610.1)". Lineage: Eukaryota; Metazoa; Chordata; Aves; Accipitriformes; Accipitridae. The record is from RNAcentral.
AGGAUGCGGAUGUCUCCAGCACCACGAUCUCCACCUUCUUGCUGACGUUGCCCUGGGAGGUGGAGACGGAACACUCCCACUCGCCGUUGGCAGAGACGUGGAUGUUGGAGAGGAUGAGCUCGCUGCGGGCAGAGGGGACGGGCUGGCACGGUGGGUCUGCCCCACAGCGAACCCACAGCAGUGGUCCCCCAAGCUUGGACACGUGGGGACACACCAUGAAGCACAGGAGGGGCCCACACUUGGCAUCCCACCCAUGGCACUUGGUACCCGCAAACCAGCAAGCUAUGCAGCCACGAGUGUCCAUCCCCAUCCCCAUCUCGUCUCCCUUGCUGUCCCUAUCCUAUCUCCAUCCCUGUCCCCAUCCCAUCUCCAUCACUGUCCCCAUCUCAUCUCCAUGCCCACCUCAUCUCCAUCUCCAUCCCAUCUCCAUCACUGUCCUCAUCUCCAUCCCCAUCCCAUCACUGUCCCCAUCUCAUCUCCAUGCCCACCUCAUCUCCAUCUCCAUCACUGUCCUCAUCUCAUCUCCAUCCCCAUCCCAUCACUGUCCUCAUCUCAUCUCCAUCCCCAUCCCAUCACUGUCCCCAUCUCAUCUCCAUGCCCACCUCAUCUCCAUCUCCAUCACUGUCCUCAUCUCAUCUCCAUCCCCAUCCCAUCACUGUCCUCAUCUCAUCUCCAUCCCCAUCCCAUCACUGUCCCCAUCUCAUCUCCAUGCCCACCUCAUCUCCAUCUCCAUCACUGUACUCAUCUCAUCUCCAUCCCCAUCCCAUCUCUAUCACUGUUUCUAUCUCUAUCAGUGUCCUCAUCUCAUCUCCUUCCCCAUCUUCAGCUCCAUCACUGUCCUCAUCUCAUCUCCAUCACCAUCUCCAGCUCUAUCACUGCCCCCAUCUCCAUCUCCACCCCCAUCUCCGUCACCAUUCCCAUCCCCGUCCCCAUCCUAUCCCCAUCCCUGACCUGGUGAUGAAGGUGCAGUCGUGGAUGAGGCUCUCCUCCACGAUGACGCCCGUCCGCUCGUCCUCCUCCACCAGCUCGCGGUUGUGAUACCAUCGGAUCUGGGUGCUGUUGUCCAAGUAAGUGGCGGUGCACUGGAAGGGCAGCCGGUCGCCCUGGAAAACCACC